This 301-nucleotide ribosomal RNA is filed under the name uncultured bacterium. RNAcentral describes it as "partial 16S ribosomal RNA". It matches the Rfam family "Bacterial small subunit ribosomal RNA", at positions 509 to 809 of the family's 1533-position model. The record is from RNAcentral.
CAGUAGCCGCGGUAAUACAGAGGGUGCAAGCGUUAAUCGGAAUUACUGGGCGUAAAGCGCGCGUAGGUGGUUCGCCAAGUUGGAUGUGAAAUCCCCGGGCUCAACCUGGGAACUGCAUCCAAAACUGGCGAGCUAGAGUAUGGUAGAGGGUGGUGGAAUUUCCUGUGUAGCGGUGAAAUGCGUAGAUAUAGGAAGGAACAUCAGUGGCGAAGGCAAUCCCCUGGGCCUGUACUGACGCUCAUGCACGAAAGCGUGGGGAGCAAACAGGAUUAGAUACCCGUGUAGUCCCUGUCUCUUAUAA